Small nuclear RNA from Phascolarctos cinereus (koala), 107 nucleotides. The record is from Ensembl. Lineage: Eukaryota; Metazoa; Chordata; Mammalia; Diprotodontia; Phascolarctidae.
GUGCUUGCUUCGGCAGCCUGUGGGCUAAUGUCAGAAUGAUACAGAAAAGAUUCUUAUAGUUCCUGGACAAGAAUGACGGGCACAUUUGUGAAGCAUUCCAUAUCUUU